Sardina pilchardus (European sardine) is the source of this 317-nucleotide long non-coding RNA. RefSeq lists it as uncharacterized. The transcript has 4 exons. The record is from RefSeq and is a predicted model, not a curated record. Lineage: Eukaryota; Metazoa; Chordata; Actinopteri; Clupeiformes; Clupeidae.
GGCUGCCUUCUGUCUGGACAGAGUGGCAUACAACGAAAAAAAGGAACUUCUGAAACUGUUCCUGAAACUGCAGGAGCAAGGCUCAAUUAUCUCCUACGUGACUGUAGAGGAUGUAAUUGAAUGGUUUCUCUGCCAUGAGAGGCAGAUGUUCACGGAUUGGUUUCUUGAAUUAAAGGAGUCACGUGAAUCAGAUGACAAUACCUGGCUGACUUGGCAGGUGAAUGCUCGACUCAGGAUGCAGGACAUUGAGCAGGAGGUCAGGAGGGAGCUGUUAGUCAGACGUCUGUCGAGUGUCUCUUGUCAGGGUGAUGAGCUGC